Molecule: ribosomal RNA, 468 nt
Filed under: uncultured bacterium
Lineage: Bacteria
Description: partial 16S ribosomal RNA
Rfam family: Bacterial small subunit ribosomal RNA
Source: RNAcentral
GACGAACGCUGGCGGCGUGCUUAACACAUGCAAGUCGAACGGAAAGGCCCUGCUUUUGUGGGGUGCUCGAGUGGCGAACGGGUGAGUAACACGUGAGUAACCUGCCCUUGACUUUGUGAUAACUUCAGGAAACUGGGGCUAAUACCGGAUAGGUGCUCCUGCUGCAUGGUGGGGGUUGGAAAGUUUCGGCUGUUGGGGAUGGACUCGCGGCUUAUCAGCUUGUUGGUUGGGUAGUUGCUUACCAAGGCAUCGAAGGCUAGCCGGCCUGAGUGGGUGACCGGCCACAUUGGUACUAAGAGACGGCCCAGACUCGUACGGGAGGCAGCAGGGGGGAAUAUUGCACAAUCGUCGGAAGCCUGAUGCAGCAACGCCGCGUGCGGGAUGACGGCCUUCGGGUUGUAAACCGCAUUCGCCUGUGACGAAGCGUGAGUGACGGUAAUGGGUAAAGAAGCACCGGCUAACUACGUG